AGUCCUUUUAAUCCGAUCCUGUGAGAUCGGAAAAGGGUAGCAUGAACGAAAAAACUUUAUCGCAGGCUUAUUCAAUCAGACCCUCUCGGUGACGCCGAGGGGGUCUUUUUUUU
Non-coding RNA from Deltaproteobacteria bacterium 13_1_40CM_4_54_4, 113 nucleotides. The record is from Rfam. Lineage: Bacteria; Deltaproteobacteria.